CCUACGGGUUGCAGCAGUGGGGAAUAUUGCACAAUGGGCGCAAGCCUGAUGCAGCCAUGCCGCGUGUGUGAAGGAGGCCUUCGGGUUGUAAAGCACUUUCAGCGGGGAGGAAGGCGUUAAGGUUAAUAACCUUGUCGAUUGACGUUACCCGCAGAAGAAGCACCGGCUAACUCCGUGCCAGCAGCCGCGGUAAUACGGAGGGUGCAAGCGUUAAUCGGAAUUACUGGGCGUAAAGCGCACGCAGGCGGUCUGUCAAGUCGGAUGUGAAAUCCCCGGGCUCAACCUGGGAACUGCAUUCGAAACUGGCAGGCUAGAGUCUUGUAGAGGGGGGUAGAAUUCCAGGUGUAGCGGUGAAAUGCGUAGAGAUCUGGAGGAAUACCGGUGGCGAAGGCGGCCCCCUGGACAAAGACUGACGCUCAGGUGCGAAAGCGUGGGGAGCAAACAGGAUUAGAUACCCGGGUAGUC
RNAcentral lists this ribosomal RNA (465 nucleotides) under uncultured Klebsiella sp. RNAcentral's name for it is "bacterial SSU rRNA". It matches the Rfam family "Bacterial small subunit ribosomal RNA", at positions 338 to 795 of the family's 1533-position model. Lineage: Bacteria; Pseudomonadati; Pseudomonadota; Gammaproteobacteria; Enterobacterales; Enterobacteriaceae. The record is from RNAcentral.